GAUGAACGCUAGCUACAGGCUUAACACAUGCAAGUCGAGGGGCAGCAGGAUCUAGCAAUAGAUUGCUGGCGACCGGCGCACGGGUGAGUAACACGUAUCCAACCUGCCGAUAACUCGGGGAUAGCCUUUCGAAAGAAAGAUUAAUACCCGAUGGUAUAAUCAGACCGCAUGGUUUGAUUAUUAAAGAAUUUCGGUUAUCGAUGGGGAUGCGUUCCAUUAGGCAGUUGGUGAGGUAACGGCUCACCAAACCUUCGAUGGAUAGGGGUUCUGAGAGGAAGGUCCCCCACAUUGGAACUGAGACACGGUCCAAACUCCUACGGGAGGCAGCAGUGAGGAAUAUUGGUCAAUGGACGCGAGUCUGAACCAGCCAAGUAGCGUGAAGGAUGACUGCCCUAUGGGUUGUAAACUUCUUUUAUAUGGGAAUAAAGUUUUCCACGUGUGGAAUUUUGUAUGUACCAUAUGAAUAAGGAUCGGCUAACUCCGUGCCAGCAGCCGCGGUAAUACGGAGGAUCCGAGCGUUAUCCGGAUUUAUUGGGUUUAAAGGGAGCGUAGGUGGACAGUUAAGUCAGUUGUGAAAGUUUGCGGCUCAACCGUAAAAUUGCAGUUGAUACUGGCUGUCUUGAGUACAGUAGAGGUGGGCGGAAUUCGUGGUGUAGCGGUGAAAUGCUUAGAUAUCACGAAGAACUCCGAUUGCGAAGGCAGCUCACUGGACUGCAACUGACACUGAUGCUCGAAAGUGUGGGUAUCAAACAGGAUUAGAUACCCUGGUAGUCCACACAGUAAACGAUGAAUACUCGCUGUUUGCGAUAUACAGUAAGCGGCCAAGCGAAAGCAUUAAGUAUUCCACCUGGGGAGUACGCCGGCAACGGUGAAACUCAAAGGAAUUGACGGGGGCCCGCACAAGCGGAGGAACAUGUGGUUUAAUUCGAUGAUACGCGAGGAACCUUACCCGGGCUUAAAUUGCAUUUGAAUAAUCUGGAAACAGGUUAGCCGCAAGGCAAAUGUGAAGGUGCUGCAUGGUUGUCGUCAGCUCGUGCCGUGAGGUGUCGGCUUAAGUGCCAUAACGAGCGCAACCCUUAUCUUUAGUUACUAACAGGUCAUGCUGAGGACUCUAGAGAGACUGCCGUCAUAAGAUGUGAGGAAGGUGGGGAUGACGUCAAAUCAGCACGGCCCUUACGUCCGGGGCUACACACGUGUUACAAUGGGGGGUACAGAAGGCAGCUACCUGGUGACAGGAUGCUAAUCCCAAAAGCCUCUCUCAGUUCGGAUCGAAGUCUGCAACCCGACUUCGUGAAGCUGGAUUCGCUAGUAAUCGCGCAUCAGCCAUGGCGCGGUGAAUACGUUCCCGGGCCU
Molecule: ribosomal RNA, 1353 nt
Filed under: uncultured bacterium
Lineage: Bacteria
Description: bacterial SSU rRNA
Rfam family: Bacterial small subunit ribosomal RNA
Source: RNAcentral